AUUGAACGCUGGCGGCAUGCCUUACACAUGCAAGUCGAACGGUAACGGGCCUUCGGGUGCCGACGAGUGGCGCACGGGUGAGUAAUACAUCGGAACGUGCCCGAUCGUGGGGGAUAACGAGGCGAAAGCUUUGCUAAUACCGCAUACGAUCUACGGAUGAGAGCAGGGGACCGCAAGGCCUUGCGCGGACUGAGCGGCCGAUGGCAGAUUAGGUAGUUGGUGGGAUAAAAGCUUACCAAGCCGACGAUCUGUAGCUGGUCUGAGAGGAUGAUCAGCCACACUGGGACUGAGACACGGCCCAGACUCCUACGGGAGGCAGCAGUGGGGAAUUUUGGACAAUGGGCGCAAGCCUGAUCCAGCCAUGCCGCGUGCAGGAUGAAGGCCUUCGGGUUGUAAACUGCUUUUGUACGGAACGAAAAGCCUUCUUUUAAUACAGGAGGGUCAUGACGGUACCGUAAGAAUAAGCACCGGCUAACUACGUG
Molecule: ribosomal RNA, 482 nt
Filed under: uncultured bacterium
Lineage: Bacteria
Description: partial 16S ribosomal RNA
Rfam family: Bacterial small subunit ribosomal RNA
Source: RNAcentral